RNAcentral lists this ribosomal RNA (1504 nucleotides) under Klebsiella pneumoniae. RNAcentral's name for it is "bacterial SSU rRNA". It matches the Rfam family "Bacterial small subunit ribosomal RNA". The record is from RNAcentral. Lineage: Bacteria; Pseudomonadati; Pseudomonadota; Gammaproteobacteria; Enterobacterales; Enterobacteriaceae.
UAGAGUUUGAUCUGGCUCAGAUUGAACGCUGGCGGCAGGCCUAACACAUGCAAGUCGAGCGGUAGCACAGAGAGCUUGCUCUCGGGUGACGAGCGGCGGACGGGUGAGUAAUGUCUGGGAAACUGCCUGAUGGAGGGGGAUAACUACUGGAAACGGUAGCUAAUACCGCAUAACGUCGCAAGACCAAAGUGGGGGACCUUCGGGCCUCAUGCCAUCAGAUGUGCCCAGAUGGGAUUAGCUGGUAGGUGGGGUAACGGCUCACCUAGGCGACGAUCCCUAGCUGGUCUGAGAGGAUGACCAGCCACACUGGAACUGAGACACGGUCCAGACUCCUACGGGAGGCAGCAGUGGGGAAUAUUGCACAAUGGGCGCAAGCCUGAUGCAGCCAUGCCGCGUGUGUGAAGAAGGCCUUCGGGUUGUAAAGCACUUUCAGCGGGGAGGAAGGCGAUAAGGUUAAUAACCUUGUCGAUUGACGUUACCCGCAGAAGAAGCACCGGCUAACUCCGUGCCAGCAGCCGCGGUAAUACGGAGGGUGCAAGCGUUAAUCGGAAUUACUGGGCGUAAAGCGCACGCAGGCGGUCUGUCAAGUCGGAUGUGAAAUCCCCGGGCUCAACCUGGGAACUGCAUUCGAAACUGGCAGGCUAGAGUCUUGUAGAGGGGGGUAGAAUUCCAGGUGUAGCGGUGAAAUGCGUAGAGAUCUGGAGGAAUACCGGUGGCGAAGGCGGCCCCCUGGACAAAGACUGACGCUCAGGUGCGAAAGCGUGGGGAGCAAACAGGAUUAGAUACCCUGGUAGUCCACGCUGUAAACGAUGUCGAUUUGGAGGUUGUGCCCUUGAGGCGUGGCUUCCGGAGCUAACGCGUUAAAUCGACCGCCUGGGGAGUACGGCCGCAAGGUUAAAACUCAAAUGAAUUGACGGGGGCCCGCACAAGCGGUGGAGCAUGUGGUUUAAUUCGAUGCAACGCGAAGAACCUUACCUGGUCUUGACAUCCACAGAACUUUCCAGAGAUGGAUUGGUGCCUUCGGGAACUGUGAGACAGGUGCUGCAUGGCUGUCGUCAGCUCGUGUUGUGAAAUGUUGGGUUAAGUCCCGCAACGAGCGCAACCCUUAUCCUUUGUUGCCAGCGGUCCGGCCGGGAACUCAAAGGAGACUGCCAGUGAUAAACUGGAGGAAGGUGGGGAUGACGUCAAGUCAUCAUGGCCCUUACGACCAGGGCUACACACGUGCUACAAUGGCAUAUACAAAGAGAAGCGACCUCGCGAGAGCAAGCGGACCUCAUAAAGUAUGUCGUAGUCCGGAUUGGAGUCUGCAACUCGACUCCAUGAAGUCGGAAUCGCUAGUAAUCGUAGAUCAGAAUGCUACGGUGAAUACGUUCCCGGGCCUUGUACACACCGCCCGUCACACCAUGGGAGUGGGUUGCAAAAGAAGUAGGUAGCUUAACCUUCGGGAGGGCGCUUACCACUUUGUGAUUCAUGACUGGGGUGAAGUCGUAACAAGGUAGCCGUA